AAUUCUCAACCUCACCAGUUUUGUAACGAGACAGGUGAAGGCUUGGAUGUGGGGGUUUUGCAGGCUGCCUCAGUGCUGGUCUGCUCUCCUGAAAUGCAUUAGCGAGCUCAUAUUGAGCUUCCGUCUAUUGGUGUGAUAAUUAUCUACGCCGUGGAUUGGACUCAUGCUUGCUUCUAACCGUCCGCGAGGACAAUUUACUUUGACCA
This 206-nucleotide unclassified non-coding RNA is filed under the name Candolleomyces candolleanus. RNAcentral's name for it is "partial internal transcribed spacer 2". The record is from RNAcentral. Lineage: Eukaryota; Fungi; Basidiomycota; Agaricomycetes; Agaricales; Psathyrellaceae.